RNAcentral lists this ribosomal RNA (311 nucleotides) under uncultured bacterium. RNAcentral describes it as "bacterial SSU rRNA". It matches the Rfam family "Bacterial small subunit ribosomal RNA", at positions 28 to 334 of the family's 1533-position model. The record is from RNAcentral.
GACGAACGCUGGCGGCGCGCCUAACACAUGCAAGUCGAACGGAGUUAGAGGUGCUUGCACCAUUAACUUAGUGGCGGACGGGUGAGUAACACGUGAGCAACCUGCCUUUCAGAGGGGAAUAACGUUUGGAAACGAACGCUAAUACCGCAUAACAUAUAUAAGUCGCAUGGCUGGUAUAUCAAAGGAGCAAUCCGCUGAAAGAUGGGCUCGCGACCGAUUAGGUAGUUGGUGAGAUAACAGCCCACCAAGCCGACGAUCGGUAGCCGGACUGAGAGGUUGAACGGCCACAUUGGGACUGAGACACGGCCCAG